GUCAGUCACUUCUAUCCCCACUUCGGAAGCUCUUCACGGCUCUAUAGGAGCCCUCUGGCUGAGUGUCCUUGGGCGAGUCAACUCUCCAAGCUUCAGUUUACCCGUCUGAAAUAUGGGAAUAAUAAUAGUGCUUUGUGAAGAGGAAAUGAUGGCAUGGAAAGCGCUUGACACAGAGCCUGACAAAUAGUGUCUAAUAACGUUAAUGGUGAUAAAGAUAGCCUUUAUUAUUAAGUCCUUCUCUACUUUUCCCAUUACCAGCACGCUAGGAAGUUCAAGAUAACUCAACAGCCUCCAGAUCCCAGCUCCAACAUGAAUACCCCAAGGACACCCUCUUCCACCUCUCCUCAGAUUUGCCUAUUCUGGAUAUUUCAUAUACAUGGAAUCACACAAUACAUGACCUUUUGUGUCUAGC
Molecule: long non-coding RNA, 412 nt
Filed under: Equus caballus (horse)
Lineage: Eukaryota; Metazoa; Chordata; Mammalia; Perissodactyla; Equidae
Description: lncRNA (ENSECAG00000052144.1)
Source: RNAcentral